This 253-nucleotide ribosomal RNA is filed under the name uncultured bacterium. RNAcentral's name for it is "partial 16S ribosomal RNA". It matches the Rfam family "Bacterial small subunit ribosomal RNA", at positions 524 to 776 of the family's 1533-position model. The record is from RNAcentral.
UACGUAGGGUGCAAGCGUUAAUCGGAAUUACUGGGCGUAAAGCGUGCGCAGGCGGUUCUUUAAGACAGAUGUGAAAUCCCCGGGCUCAACCUGGGAACUGCAUUUGUGACUGUAGAGCUGGAGUACGGUAGAGGGGGAUGGAAUUCCGCGUGUAGCAGUGAAAUGCGUAGAUAUGCGGAGGAACACCGAUGGCGAAGGCAAUCCCCUGGACCUGUACUGACGCUCAUGCACGAAAGCGUGGGGAGCAAACAGG